AUGCACGCUGGCGGCGGGGAGAAUAAAUGUAAGUCGAGCGAAAAGACGAGUAGCUUGCUCUUCUGAAGUUAGUGGCGGACGGUUGAGUAACAAGUGGAUAAAUUAAAUAUAAGACUGGGAUAACUUCGGGAAACCGGAGCUAAUACCGGAUAAUCUAUUGAACCGCAUGGUUCAAUAGUGAAAGACGGUUUUGCUGUCACUUAUAGAUGGAUCCGCGCCGCAUUAGCUAGUUGGUAAGGUAACGGCUUACCAAGGCAACGAUGCGUAGCCGACCUGAGAGGGUGAUCGGCCACACUGGAACUGAGACACGGUCCAGAAUCCUACGGGAGGAAGCAGUAGGGAAUCUUCCGCAAUGGGCGAAAGCCUGACGGAGCAACGCCGCGUGAGUGAUGAAGGGAGUCGGAUCGUAAAACUCUGUUAUUAGGGAAGAAAAAAUGUGUAAGUAACUAUGCACGUAUUGACGGUACCUAAUCAGAAAGCCACGGCUAACUACGUC
Molecule: ribosomal RNA, 496 nt
Filed under: uncultured bacterium
Lineage: Bacteria
Description: partial 16S ribosomal RNA
Rfam family: Bacterial small subunit ribosomal RNA
Source: RNAcentral